CUUCUCAAUGUCUCUUGGGUUGUUUCUUGCUGCUGCUGCCGGCACUUGGCUGAGAAUCUUCUAUUUUCCUUACUGCGAGUCUACGUUGCUCCUACACUUCUUCCACGUUCAUUUAUGCUUGUACGAUCUGUUCUAUGUGUAUGUGCAUUGCAGCUUCUUUGGAAGGUUCCUUACUGCCUCUCUGGCCCUCCUAGGAUAGAAAAGCUUGUCGCGGUCACCGAGAGCUCGCCUGGGAGCCGCCGUGAGCACUGUCUCCUGGGAGCCGCCAUGAAUCUUGUACACAACGUCCAGACCUCGAUUGUAGGACAUGGGUCG
Lolium rigidum is the source of this 315-nucleotide long non-coding RNA. RefSeq lists it as uncharacterized. NCBI's taxonomy places the organism in Eukaryota, Viridiplantae, Streptophyta, Magnoliopsida, Poales, Poaceae. The transcript has 4 exons. The record is from RefSeq and is a predicted model, not a curated record.